This 4634-nucleotide long non-coding RNA is filed under the name Sus scrofa (pig). RNAcentral describes it as "lncRNA (ENSSSCG00025017868.1)". The record is from RNAcentral. Lineage: Eukaryota; Metazoa; Chordata; Mammalia; Artiodactyla; Suidae.
AACAUACAGUUGCCUGAUUUUUCCAAGUGUCUUAGGAAAGGACUCACUUCAAGUGUCAGUAAACUGACUUCACAAGAUACAGGGUGGCAUAUUCAGGGACCUGGUAAACACAGAACUCCAGUGAAAGCCAGCCUUGGAAGCAGGACUGUCACGUCCUGUCACUAUGACUACAGGAUUUAUGGCUCCUGUAGCAUCCCGGAGAAGCAUCAGGAGAUGCUGAGCCCACAGUCUGACGACAGCCUACCGAUGGCAUGUUUCUGUCAUGAUCAAGCAGAAGGUACAUCGCAAGAACGAGGGGACCUUAACGACACAUUUCUGCAUAGUCUCCCUUAUAUUUCUGCACCUCCUCCUAUGAUGUUUGCGUCACCCGUACGCAAAGAGGAAAUUGUCAUUAUAAACACGGUGAACUGGGGUUUUUACAAGUCAAACAUUUCAGAUGUCUUCUUCUGGCAGAUUUUUUUUCAUUUUUCGGGUAAACAUUUCCUUCCAGUUUCAAGAUGUAGACAGACAUUAAAAUUACUCUUUUGAAACCAUAAGUCUAUCUACAUAUAGAUAGGUAGAUGAUAGAUAGAAGUAUAUAUUAAUAUGUGUGUGUUGUGUACAAAACUCACACACAUACAUACACAUAUAUUAGCUACAUAAAGUUUUACACACUUUUUUACACAAGUGGUAGAUUGCCACUGCAUUCUAAAAACUUACAAUUUUCUCCUGGACUCAGGUACACUAUGUUUAUGUAAACAAAUGUUUUCCCUAAAUAAUCACUUUAAAUUUUUCAAUUAAAUUUAAUUUAAAUUUUCAAUUAAAUGUAAAACUUCUGAGGCAUAUAUCAUUUUUAAAAAACUAUUUAAUUUCUGCCUCCCCAAAAAUCCCAGAAUGUAUUCUGAAAUAUAUUCAGAAAAAAUAGUUAGCAUGUAUCUUUUGUAACUGAAUGUCUAUGUACAAUCAUAUAUCGAUGUGAAUAGGCUUUUUUCUUUCUCCCUUUGACUUGAAAUGAUUUCCCUUUACUUAGUCUCUGUUGAUAUUACGGUUCAUGUAAGCCGGCUGCUGUCUACAUGUCCUAGCGUUGGAUAUAAAAAACACACAAAGAAAGAGCAUUAAAACCAUGGUAUUAGGAGUUGCCUAGUGGCCUAGAGAUUAAGCAUUCAGCAUUGUCACUGCUAUGGCUCAAGUUCAGUCCCUGGCCUGGGACCUUCGCAUGCCAAGGGCACAGCCAAUAAAUUAAAAAAAUCAUAGUAUGAGCAUCACCCAGACCCAGCUAUCUCUCUGUCUCUGUUAGAGAUGGUGCACCACACUGCCAAACUAAUGGGACUGAUGGAUGAGAACUUUAAGGAAAAAUAUCUCUGAGGCGUUCCCAGCGUGGCUCAGCGGUUAAUGAACCCAACUAACAACCAUCCCUGGCCCCACUCAGUGGGUGAAGGAUCUGGUGUUGCCAUGAGCUAUGGUGUAGGUCAAAGACAGAGCUCAGAUCCUGCUGUUGCUGUGGCUGUGGUGUAGGCCGGUGGCUACAGCUCCAGUUGGACCCCCUUAGCCUGGGAACCUCCAUCUGCUGUGAGUGCAGCCCUAAAAAGACAAGAGGAUUUUUUUAAAAAUCUCUGAAAUGGACACAAAAGUGACAUCGGUAAGCUCCCUGCAUGUACCCCACCCCCUGCUGCGUCGAUGAGGGGAGGGCGGGAGGUGUUAGCCUGGGAACAAGUAAUCAAACCUGAACAAGGACUGAUGUAAAAAUUGAUGAAAUCUUUUAUGGAUGAGCCUGUGGACUCGCAUCACCCGUUCCUAGGGGUGAACGCCCAUUUAGGCACCUCCAGACCAGAAAAUUUUCCUAAGACUCAGCAAAGUGGCCUGACUCACAGCUCUGGACCAACCGCGAGGCCCUAAUUAUUAAUACUUCUCCCACACAAGCCCUUCUCUCCAAUCCCUCCAAGGAAGCCCUGACUCAGGCUAUAAUGCCUCGCACCUUGAUUACUGCCCGUCUUGAAACUAGUGUUCCUGCCUCUGUUCUCACUCACAAUGAGCCGCAUUGUGGGUCACGCCAUCCUCCUGCCCACGUAAUCCAGGCGGACCUUGUUUUAUGGCACUUCCCGUCGAGGCACAUCAAGCAAGCCUACUGGUGCCAUUUUUCCAAGAGCGCUUGCUCACUUCAUGGUCUGUGUCCAUUUUGGUGAUUCUCACAAACAUUUCAAACUUCUUCAUUUGUGUUACAGUUAUUGGGGGAUCUGUCAUCAGCGAUCUUUGGUGCUACUAUUUCAAUUGUUUGAGGAUACCAAGGCUUAUAUUAGGUUUUAUAUAAGACUGCCAACUACAUCACUAAAUGGAGUGUGGGUUCCAAACACUCCACCAACCAUCCCUUCCUUCACAUUCAAGCGAAAGGAAGAGUCACACAUCUCUCACUUUAAAUCGAAAGCUAGAAAUGAUGCAGCUUAGUGAGACGGUCACGUCGAAAGCUGAGAGAGGUCCCCAGCUAGGCUUCCUGCACCAAACAGUCAAGUUGUGAAGGCAAAGGGAACGUUUGUGCAUGAAAUCAAAAGUGAUGAGAACACGUGAAUGAUAAAGAGAAACCACCUCACUGCUGAGAUGGAGAGUGGUGUGGAAAGGAGACAGAAACAGCCACCACCCUCCCUUAAGCCAGCAGCUAAUCCGGAGCACCUCACCCCAAUUCUAUGGAGCGAGCUGAAGAAGCUGCAGAAGAAAAGUCGGGCCGUUCCCAUGGUGGCACAGCCGAAACGAAUCUGACUAGAAUCCAUGAGGAUGCGGGUUGGACCCCUGGCCUUCUUCAGUGGGACAGCAAUCCAGUGUUGCUAUGGGCUGUGGUGUAGGUCGCAGACAUGGCUCAGAUCCCCCGUUGCUGUGGCUGUGGUGUAGACUGGCAGCUGUAGUUCUGAUUCAACCCUUAGUCUGGGAACUUCCAUAAAAAUACAAAAAAAAAAAAAAAGUCUGGGAGUUCCCAUCAUGGCUCAGUGGUUAACGAAUCCGACUAGGAACCAUGAGGUUGCAUGUUCUAUCCCUGGCCUUGCUAAGUGGAUUAAGGAUCCAGUGUUGCCGUGACCUGUGGUGUAGUUCGCAGACGAGGCUCGGAUCCCAAGUUGCUAUGGCUGUGGUGUAGGCUGGCAGCUGUAGCUCUGAUUAGACCCCUAGCCUGGGAACUUCCAUAUGCCACAAAAGACAAAAGACAAAAGACAAAAAAAAAAAGGCUGAAGCUUAGCAGAAGUUGGUGCACAAUGUUCACGGAAAGAAACCGUCUCCAUAACGCAAAAGCACAAGGUGAAGCAGCAGGUGGUGAUGUUAUCCAGGAGUGCUGGCUAGGAUUAUUCUAGAAAGUGGUUACCCUAAACAAGAGAUUUUCAAUGUGGAUGAAACAAUCUUUUAGGUCCCUAUUGUUUAAGAAUCUCAUUCACCUUGAAAAUUAGUUUUUCAGAAUCUGAGUGGGAGACCCCACCUCCCUAAUAGUUCAAACCUGAAACUGGCAGCCCCUUUAGCCUGGUGCCUGAGAGCAGAACCCAAGACAAAGCCAGGUAGGCAGGUGGUCUAAUUGGGAGGUGGUCUCAGGGCACAGAAGGGAAGGACGAGGGACGAUGAAACAGGCCCCAGGGGACAGCAGCUGGAGGGAUGUGGAAUUGAAUUGGCCACUGCUACAGACAACUGCGCUGGAUUCUGCCAGAACCUGCUAGAGCAGCCUGAGGAGCCCGUGGGAGCACAAGGGAAUCGUGUAUUCAGCUGCUUUGCUCCUGGUGGUCAAGGGCGAACCCUCGGGUGAUACGCCCCACAGCUCCUCCCCCAACACACACACUCCCGGGCAUAAUGUUCACUGCCUGUGUGUGACCCAGGACCCACUUGGGGCACCCAUCUAGGGAAGCUCCAAGACUGCAGGCAGCAGGAGUUCGUGCGCUGAGACGAUUCCACCGUCAGAUCACACCCACGCGAGACCGGUUGAACCUGGCCUCUUCCCACCGACACGCUGAAACUACAACUGUGCACAGAGGAUCUCUGAAAAGGACCCAAAGACUAGCAGAAAGGAUUUUCCACAGAGAAGAAGAAGAAGAAAAAGCCCCAUUGAGAAGGGUAGGAGGGACCCACUCCCCAGGGAGGAGGGACAGCACAGCCACGCGUCCGCCCCAGGAGCAAGGGGUCCAAACAGCACGUCGCGCUCCCCAGCCCAGGAGACCUGCACCCGCCUGGCUCCUAAAACCAGCAUACGUCUGGGAAGGCGGGGAGGAGCCAGAGGAAACGCUGAUCUCCAACAAUAUGUGUCAACACUACCUCACUCUGAGCCCCAGCAGGAGGCAGCGGUUCAACAGGUGCCUGGUCCAUUCAGGAAGGACAUUCAUGGACUAAUUUUAGUGUGCACGCCCAAGAGGCAAGGGUGGUGCUGAUGGGUGUCAAGUUUUUUUUUUUGGGGGGGGGGGGCUCAUCUUCUAUCUAGCUGGCCUGGCCCUGGAGGGUCUGCCUUGCCAGGGCUUCUCACCCCAUCCCAGAUUCACCUGCGAACCCACCACCCCAACCAGCUCUCCGCCAAAGUGGCCCCCUGCUCCCAGACCUGGUGGCUGCCUUCCCCAUCAAAAGUGGCCCCUUGCCCCACCAGACCCAGUGCUACAUAAAGAAUAUGUACUGAUGAGUUCCUGUUGUGGCUCAGCAGGUUA